ACGAACGCUGGCGGCGUGCCUAAUACAUGCAAGUCGAGCGAAUGAUAGGGAGCUUGCUCCCUUGAUUUAGCGGCGGACGGGUGAGUAACACGUGGGCAACCUACCUGUAAGACUGGGAUAACUUCGGGAAACCGGAGCUAAUACCGGAUAAUUUCUUUUCUCGCAUGAGAAGAGAUGGAAAGACGGUUUCGGCUGUCACUUACAGAUGGGCCCGCGGCGCAUUAGCUAGUUGGUGAGGUAAUGGCUCACCAAGGCCACGAUGCGUAGCCG
This 270-nucleotide ribosomal RNA is filed under the name Bacillus sp. ISO4_OTU2318. Its description in RNAcentral is "partial 16S ribosomal RNA". It matches the Rfam family "Bacterial small subunit ribosomal RNA", at positions 29 to 289 of the family's 1533-position model. Lineage: Bacteria; Bacillati; Bacillota; Bacilli; Caryophanales; Bacillaceae. The record is from RNAcentral.